CCUACGGUGUGCUGCAGUGGGGAAUAUUGGGCAAUGGGCGCAACUCUUACCCAGCAACGCCGUGUGAAGGAAGAAGGUCUUCGGGUUGUAAACUUCUUUUCUCAGGGACGAAGAAAGUGACGGUACCUGAGGAAUAAGCCACGGCUAACUACGUGCCAGCAGCCGCGGUAAUACGUAGGUGGCAAGCGUUAUUCGGAUUAAUUGGGCGUAAAGGGCGUGUAGGCGGGUACGCAAGUAAGAUGUGAAAACACAGGGCCUAACCCUGAGGCUGCAUUUAAAAUUGUGUUACUUGAGUGCUGGAGAGGCAAGCGGAAUUCCGUGUGUAGCGGUGGAAUGCGUAGAUAUACGGAGGAACACCAGUGGCGAAGGCGGAUUGCUGGACAGUAACUGACGCUGAGGCACGAAAGCGUGGGGAGCAAACAGGAUUAGAUACCCCAGUAGUC
RNAcentral lists this ribosomal RNA (443 nucleotides) under uncultured bacterium. RNAcentral's name for it is "partial 16S ribosomal RNA". It matches the Rfam family "Bacterial small subunit ribosomal RNA", at positions 338 to 795 of the family's 1533-position model. The record is from RNAcentral.